CUGAGAUGUAAGAGUUUGCAUUAUGAAAGGAUGAGAAGCAGUGCCUGAGCUCAUGCUAAGCUCCUCCACAAGAGGACUGUCAAAUUAUUUUUGAGAGAGAUCCAGGAGGAAACCUUCAGUGCUGGGCAGAAGGAAGCCUGUGGGGAGAGGCAGAACCAGCUUUGCAUGGGAACAACUCAUCCAAGGAGAGGAUCCAAAGGAGCAGGGAAUGCUGGUUUUAAUCUGCUUCCAUGGGCUGAAAUGACUCCUGUGUUCAAGCUGGCAUUACCGACAGGGAUACAACUGCAGUUUGGGUAUCAGCUCUCUGGGACCUGCAACCUGCCUGGCAAGGAAACAUCAUCAGCCCUCUUAUCUGCUCCUUGCCUGAAUUCUGCCUGGAUUUCUGACUGGUGAGGCUUAUUGGAAGCAGCAUCCCUGUGAGCAGGAGAGCAGCUGCUCU
Molecule: long non-coding RNA, 439 nt
Filed under: Serinus canaria (Common canary)
Lineage: Eukaryota; Metazoa; Chordata; Aves; Passeriformes; Fringillidae
Description: lncRNA (ENSSCAG00000008007.1)
Source: RNAcentral